Molecule: ribosomal RNA, 253 nt
Filed under: uncultured bacterium
Lineage: Bacteria
Description: partial 16S ribosomal RNA
Rfam family: Bacterial small subunit ribosomal RNA
Source: RNAcentral
UACGAAGGGAGCUAGCGUUGUUCGGAAUCACUGGGCGUAAAGCGCACGUAGGCGGAUUUGCCAGUCAGGGGUGAAAUCCCGGGGCUCAACCUCGGAACUGCCUUUGAUACUGCAAAUCUCGAGUCCGGAAGAGGUGAGUGGAAUUCCUAGUGUAGAGGUGAAAUUCGUAGAUAUUAGGAAGAACACCAGUGGCGAAGGCGGCUCACUGGUCCGGUACUGACGCUGAGGUGCGAAAGCGUGGGGAGCAAACAGG